This 417-nucleotide ribosomal RNA is filed under the name uncultured bacterium. RNAcentral's name for it is "bacterial SSU rRNA". It matches the Rfam family "Bacterial small subunit ribosomal RNA", at positions 28 to 437 of the family's 1533-position model. The record is from RNAcentral.
GACGAACGCUGGCGGCGUGCUUAACACAUGCAAGUCGUGCGGAAAGGCCUUUUCGAAGGUGCUCGAGCGGCGAACGGGUGAGUAACACGUGAGUAACCUGCCCUGCGCUGGGGGAUAACCCUCGGAAACGGGGGCUAAUACCGGAUGGUCACAUGGGUUCGCAUGGGUCUGUGUGGAAAGGGAUCUUCGGGUUUUGGUCGUGGGAUGGGCUCGCGGCCUAUCAGCUUGUUGGUGGGGUGAUGGCCUACCAAGGCGAGGACGGGUAGCCGGUCUGAGAGGAUGGCCAGCCACAUUGGGACUGAGAUACGGCCCAGACUCCUACGGGAGGCAGCAGUGGGGAAUCUUGCGCAAUGGCCUAACGACUGGCGCAGCGACGCCGCGUGUGGGAUGAAGCUCCUCGGAGUGUAAACCACUGUU